RNAcentral lists this ribosomal RNA (764 nucleotides) under uncultured bacterium. Its description in RNAcentral is "bacterial SSU rRNA". It matches the Rfam family "Bacterial small subunit ribosomal RNA", at positions 96 to 860 of the family's 1533-position model. The record is from RNAcentral.
CGGCGCACGGGUGAGUAACGCGUAUGCAACCUGCCUUUAACAGGGGGAUAACCCGGAGAAAUUCGGACUAAUACCGCAUAAAACAGGGGCUCCGCAUGGAGAUAUUUGUUAAAGAUUUAUCGGUUAUAGAUGGGCAUGCGUUCCAUUAGCCAGUUGGUGAGGUAACGGCUCACCAAAGCGACGAUGGAUAGGGGAACUGAGAGGUUUGUCCCCCACACUGGAACUGAGACACGGACCAGACUCCUACGGGAGGCAGCAGUGAGGAAUAUUGGUCAAUGGGCGAGAGCCUGAACCAGCCAAAUCGCGUGAAGGAAGACUGCCUUAUGGGUUGUAAACUUCUUUUAUACAGGAAUAAAAAAGGGGACGUGUCCCUUAUUGCAUGUACUGUAUGAAUAAGCAUCGGCUAACUCCGUGCCAGCAGCCGCGGUAAUACGGAGGAUGCGAGCGUUAUCCGGAUUUAUUGGGUUUAAAGGGUGCGCAGGCGGGCUUUUAAGUCAGCGGUGAAAUCUCGGGGCUUAACUCCGAAACUGCCGUUGAAACUGGGAGUCUUGAGUAUGGAUGAAGUAGGUGGAAUUCGUUGUGUAGCGGUGACAUGCUUAGAUAUAACGAGGAACUCCGAUUGCGUAGGCAGCUUACUAAGCCAUAACUGACGCUCAAGCACGAAAGCGUGGGGAUCAAACAGGAUUAGAUACCCUGGUAGUCCACGCCGUAAACGAUGAUUACUAGUUGUAUGCGAUAUACCGUAUGUGACUAAGCGAAAGCGA